GACGAACCGUGCGAACGUUAUUCGGAAUCACUGGGCUUAAAGGGUGCGUAGGCGGCGCCGUAAGUCGGGUGUGAAAUCCCUCGGCUCAACCGAGGAAUUGCGCUUGAUACUGCGGUGCUCGAGGAAGGUAGGGGCGCGUGGAACUUCCGGUGGAGCGGUGAAAUGUAUUGAUAUCGGAAGGAACGCCGGUGGCGAAAGCGGCGCGCUGGGCCUUUUCUGACGCUGAGGCACGAAAGCUAGGGUAGCGAACGGG
Molecule: ribosomal RNA, 253 nt
Filed under: uncultured bacterium
Lineage: Bacteria
Description: partial 16S ribosomal RNA
Rfam family: Bacterial small subunit ribosomal RNA
Source: RNAcentral